Anncaliia algerae PRA109 is the source of this 97-nucleotide non-coding RNA. Lineage: Eukaryota; Fungi; Microsporidia; Tubulinosematidae. The record is from Rfam.
UGCAGUUACUGCACUAUUGAUUUGGAACAACACUGAGAAGAUUAGCAACGCCCCUGCGCAAGGACGGCGCUUUCUUUGAGAGGUUGCCUGUUGUGAU